Erigeron canadensis is the source of this 362-nucleotide long non-coding RNA. RefSeq lists it as uncharacterized. NCBI's taxonomy places the organism in Eukaryota, Viridiplantae, Streptophyta, Magnoliopsida, Asterales, Asteraceae. The transcript has 3 exons. The record is from RefSeq and is a predicted model, not a curated record.
UCAAAGUUAGAUUAAAAUGAGAUGAUUGAUGGGUCAACAGUUAAAGAUAAAGAAACGGCCCUGGUGUGGUUUAAUGAAGAUGCAGACCAUGAAUUUGGAUCUUGUCAAGCUAAAGAACUUAUCUAUCAUCUUGAGAGUGUGCUCGCCAAUGAGCCCGUUACAGUGGAAAAAAGGGCAUAGUAUCGGGGUCAAAUUACAGGUCUCCAAAUGAAAAUAUUCGACUUGUGCACAUCGGAUAUAGCUGGGAAGUGUAGAUGUGUACAUGCUGGUUAUUUUGGGUUUUCAAAUCGUCCCAUAUUGGGUAACAGUUCAUGCUAAAUGUUAUUUUCAGUGGUGUAGGAUAAGGGUAAUUGAUAUGUUAA